This 396-nucleotide long non-coding RNA is filed under the name Mytilus galloprovincialis (Mediterranean mussel). Lineage: Eukaryota; Metazoa; Mollusca; Bivalvia; Mytilida; Mytilidae. The record is from RNAcentral.
UUAUGGUCAUUCUUAAUAUACAGUUCCAAAUGAAAUAUUUAGGAUAAAAAACAUCGUUAUUGAAUUUGGAGCAAAUGACAUCAAAUUCCGCGAACCUGUACUUUUAAUGACGUCAUAAAUAAAACUCAACGGAAACAAAUUGUUAACCGGUCAUAAACAUAAACUGGAAUCCGCUUGUAUUACGCUUCACUCAAACUGAUGAACAAAGUGUAGUUGUCAGCCGAGAACCAGCUUAUCAUAAACAGGGAUGUAUAAUAUACGGUCAGUGACUGUACAUCAAAAAUUAUCAGAAAUAAUUUUACGGCCAAUGCAAUUUGACUGCGCAAAUAGCAUAGCUGCAGUAUAUACAAAGAUUUUACAUUCAAGUAGAAACUCCAUAUGAUACCUGAUUACAAU